UACAGAGGUCUCAAGCGUUGUUCGGAUUCAUUGGGCGUAAAGGGUGCGUAGGUGGCGCCGUAAGUCGGGUGUGAAAUUUCGGAGCUUAACUCCGAAACUGCAUUCGAUACUGCGGUGCUUGAGGACUGGAGAGGAGACUGGAAUUUACGGUGCAGCGGUGAAAUGCGUAGAUAUCGUUUGGAACGCCAAUGGUGAAAACAGGUCGCUGGGGAUGAGCUGACGCUGAGACACGAAAGCCAGGGGAGCAAACGGG
Molecule: ribosomal RNA, 253 nt
Filed under: uncultured bacterium
Lineage: Bacteria
Description: partial 16S ribosomal RNA
Rfam family: Bacterial small subunit ribosomal RNA
Source: RNAcentral